AGUGAACGCUGGCGGUAGGCCUAACACAUGCAAGUCGAACGGCAGCACAGUAAGAGCUUGCUCUUACGGGUGGCGAGUGGCGGACGGGUGAGGAAUACAUCGGAAUCUACUUUUUCGUGGGGGAUAACGUAGGGAAACUUACGCUAAUACCGCAUACGACCUACGGGUGAAAGCAGGGGAUCUUCGGACCUUGCGCGAUUGAAUGAGCCGAUGUCGGAUUAGCUAGUCGGCGGGGUAAAGGCCCACCAAGGCGACGAUCCGUAGCUGGUCUGAGAGGAUGAUCAGCCACACUGGAACUGAGACACGGUCCGGACUCCUACGGGAGGCAGCAGUGGGGAAUAUUGGACAAUGGGCGCAAGCCUGAUCCAGCCAUACCGCGUGGGUGAAGAAGGCCUUCGGGUUGUAAAGCCCCUUUGUUGGGAAAGAAAAGCAGCAGGUUAAUACCCCGCUGUUCUGACGGUACCCAAAGAAUAAGCACCGGCUAACUUCGUG
Molecule: ribosomal RNA, 492 nt
Filed under: uncultured bacterium
Lineage: Bacteria
Description: partial 16S ribosomal RNA
Rfam family: Bacterial small subunit ribosomal RNA
Source: RNAcentral